AGUGAACGCUGGCGGUAGGCCUAACACAUGCAAGUCGAACGGCAGCACAGUAAGAGCUUGCUCUUACGGGUGGCGAGUGGCGGACGGGUGAGGAAUACAUCGGAAUCUACUUUUUCGUGGGGGAUAACGGAGGGAAACUUACGCUAAUACCGCAUACGAUCUACGGGUGAAAGCAGGGGAUCUUCGGACCUUUCGCGAUUGAAUGAGCCGAUGUCGGAUUAGCUAGUUGGGGGGGUAAAGGCCCACCAAGGCGACGAUCCGUAGCUGGUCUGAGAGGAUGAUCAGCCACACUGGAACUGAGACACGGUCCAGACUCCUACGGGAGGCAGCAGUGGGGAAUAUUGGACAAUGGGCGCAAGCCUGAUCCAGCCAUACCGCGUGGGUGAAGAAGGCCUUCGGGUUGUAAAGCCCUUUUGUUGGGAAAGAAAAGCAGCAGGUUAAUACCCCGCUGUUCUGACGGUACCCAAAGAAUAAGCACCGGCUAACUUCGUG
Molecule: ribosomal RNA, 492 nt
Filed under: uncultured bacterium
Lineage: Bacteria
Description: partial 16S ribosomal RNA
Rfam family: Bacterial small subunit ribosomal RNA
Source: RNAcentral